ACGGAAGGCAGCAGUGGGGGAUAUUGCACAAUGGGGGAAACCCUGAUGCAGCGACGCCGCGUGAGUGAUGAAGUAUUUCGGUAUGUAAAGCUCUAUCAGCAGGGAAGAAAAUGACGGUACCUGACUAAGAAGCACCGGCUAAAUACGUGCCAGCAGCCGCGGUAAUACGUAUGGUGCAAGCGUUAUCCGGAUUUACUGGGUGUAAAGGGAGCGCAGGCGGCCAUGCAAGUCAGAAGUGAAAGCCCGGGGCUCAACCCCGGGACUGCUUUUGAAACUGUAAGGCUAGAUUGCCGGAGAGGUAAGCGGAAUUCCUAGUGUAGCGGUGAAAUGCGUAGAUAUUAGGAGGAACACCAGUGGCGAAGGCGGCUUACUGGACGGUAAAUGACGCUCAGGCUCGAAAGCGUGGGGAGCAAACAGGAUUAGAUACCCUGGUA
This 434-nucleotide ribosomal RNA is filed under the name uncultured Lachnospiraceae bacterium. Its description in RNAcentral is "bacterial SSU rRNA". It matches the Rfam family "Bacterial small subunit ribosomal RNA", at positions 341 to 792 of the family's 1533-position model. Lineage: Bacteria; Bacillati; Bacillota; Clostridia; Lachnospirales; Lachnospiraceae. The record is from RNAcentral.